UACGUAGGUGGCAAGCGUUAUCCGGAAUUAUUGGGUGUAAAGGGUGUGUAGGCGGGACUUUAAGUCAGACGUGAAAAUCAAAGGCUCAACCAUUGACCUGCGUUUGAAACUGGAGUUCUUGAGAGUGGGAGAGGUAAACGGAAUUCCUGGUGUAGCGGUGAAAUGCGUAGAUAUCAGGAGGAACACCGGUGGCGAAGGCGGUUUACUGGACCACAACUGACGCUGAGACACGAAAGCGUGGGGAGCAAACAGG
Molecule: ribosomal RNA, 253 nt
Filed under: uncultured bacterium
Lineage: Bacteria
Description: partial 16S ribosomal RNA
Rfam family: Bacterial small subunit ribosomal RNA
Source: RNAcentral